CGCAGUUAACGCGAUAAGUCGACCGCCUGGGGAGUACGGCCGCAAGGUUAAAACUCAAAUGAAUUGACGGGGGCCCGCACAAGCGGUGGAGCAUGUGGUUUAAUUCGAUGCAACGCGAAGAACCUUACCUACUCUUGACAUCGAGCGAACUUUCCAGAGAUGGAUUGGUGCCUUCGGGAACGCUCAGACAGGUGCUGCAUGGCCGUCGUCAGCUCGUGUUGUGAAAUGUUGGGUUAAGUCCCGUAACGAGCGCAACCCUUGUCCCUAUUUGCCAGCGAUUCGGUCGGGAACUCUAGGGAGACUGCCGGUGACAAACCGGAGGAAGGUGGGGACGACGUCAGGUCAUCAUGGCCCUUAC
This 358-nucleotide ribosomal RNA is filed under the name Halomonas smyrnensis. RNAcentral describes it as "bacterial SSU rRNA". It matches the Rfam family "Bacterial small subunit ribosomal RNA", at positions 847 to 1205 of the family's 1533-position model. The record is from RNAcentral. Lineage: Bacteria; Pseudomonadati; Pseudomonadota; Gammaproteobacteria; Oceanospirillales; Halomonadaceae.